RNAcentral lists this transfer RNA (73 nucleotides) under Ancylobacter radicis. RNAcentral describes it as "tRNA-Arg". It matches the Rfam family "tRNA". Rfam says of the family: Transfer RNA (tRNA) molecules are approximately 80 nucleotides in length. Their secondary structure includes four short double-helical elements and three loops (D, anti-codon, and T loops). Lineage: Bacteria; Pseudomonadati; Pseudomonadota; Alphaproteobacteria; Hyphomicrobiales; Xanthobacteraceae. The record is from RNAcentral.
CCCCCAUCGUCUAGCCCGGUUAGGACGCCCGACUUCUAAUCGGGAAACGUCGGUUCAAAUCCGACUGGGGGCC